RNAcentral lists this small RNA (26 nucleotides) under Bombyx mori (domestic silkworm). Its description in RNAcentral is "ovarian small RNA-20926". The record is from RNAcentral. Lineage: Eukaryota; Metazoa; Arthropoda; Insecta; Lepidoptera; Bombycidae.
UACCUUCAAGUCAUGAUCAGUGUUGU